CCUCAUCCCAUCUAGCCUGAAGCAGGGCCGAGCUGGGCUACAGUGUGUCUGUCUUGAGCUGCAGAAACUUGACUCUUUAACUGGGACAGACAGUGCUGUCAAGACAAAGCUUCCAAGGAUACAGCCUCUCCAGCACCUUAAAUUUAUCCAACAGACUUCUGCCAGUCUGUCUAAAAUAACAGAGCUCCAGGAAGCAAAAGAAAAAAAAAAAAAAAAGGUGGGGGAAUCUGCUGCCAUCACCCCCAUCCAAACCAGGCUCAGGAAAUUUUCCAGGGCCAGGCUGCCUUUGUGGAAGCUAUGUAAGGACUGGAGAAACACAUGUUCUCAUGCAAACAAACCCCAAAACAAAACAAGGGAUCCUGCCUUUGUACCUGGCCUGUCUCCAAAGGUGGUACAUUAUCUCCAAAGGUGGCCACCAUCAUUUCCUUCUCUCCCUAUAUGUGAUUUCCUUCUCUAUUGGCUCCAUUCAUCAAGAAGUAGAGGUGAUUCCUGCUCUUCCUCUUUGAACUUGGGCCAGCCUUGUGAUUUGCCUUGACCAACUGGACAUGGAGGAAGUGAUACUGUGCCGGUGCUUAGCCCGGCCUUUUAGAGGCCUGGCAUCUUCAGCUCUCUCUCAGGAGAAUACUUGUACCUGGAUCUUCACUAGGGGUAAGUCCUUGUUCUCGAUUUUAAACAUUUAUUUAGCCAACUAAGUGCUCUAUUAAUUCUAGUUGAAGGGGAGAUGCAGAGACAGUGUUCUAGUUGCUAAUGCUGUGUGAGAAAGCACCCCAGAAGGUCGUAGGUGAAACAACUAUCUUAAGAUGCUGGCUGAUCGGGGCUGGGGCAUUCAGAAGGGCCAAAGCAAGAGUGGCUUGUCCCUGCUCUAUGGUUCUUGGAUAACUCAAAGGGCUGGGGGCUGAGAGAGUGGAGGAAGGAGGACACACUUCCAGAUGGCUUGCUUGUUCAUGCACGUGGUUAUGCACCGGGCAGGAACAGGGACAGCCAGAGGGCCAAGCUCAAACUGACAGCUAAAGAGCCCAGAGGGGCAGUCCUUGGGGGAGGCGGUGCCCACUGCCUGCCUUAUAGACCGUAUCCCUACCAUCACCUUGACUUACUUUCCGCUAUAUGUUAUUGGAGGGAGCAGUCCCUAGCCGUCCUAGAUUCAAAUGAGGGGUAUAGACCUCACCUCCCAAGGUGGAGUCAGUAACAGGGAACUGUGGGCCACAUUUAAAACCAUGACAGGCUAGUGAAUGGCUUUCUGGGAGAUUUAUGGGUGAAGGGAGGAGGAGAGUCUUGAAGAAGCCCAGAUUCAGUCAUUCUAAGCGUUUGUCACAAAUGGAUCUAUCAUCUGGGUUUCAAAUACAGCUCUCAGAUGACUGCUCUUCAAGAGGCUGGGCACAGUGGCUUAUACCUAUAAUCCUAGCACUUUUAGAGGCUAAGGCGGAUGGAUCAGCUGAGGUCAGGAGUUCGAGACCAGCCUGGCAAAAACGGUGAAACCCCAUCUCUACUACAAAUACAAAAAUUAGCUGGGUGUGGUGGUGCACACCUGUAAUCCCAGCUAUUUGGGAGGCUGAGGCAGGAGAAUUGCUUGAACCCAGGAGACAGAGGUUGCAGUCAGCAGAGAUUACCACCACUGCAUUCCAGCCUGGGUGACAGAGUGAGACUCCAUCUCAAAAAAAUGAAACAAAAAACAAAACAAACAAACAAACAAAAAACAAAGACUGCCUUGUGUUUCCUUGCAGGCAGCCAGGGCAGAAUGCGGUGUUCUCAAGACUGCCAUGCUGGCUCAUCCAUACCUUGUUGGACUUGAUAAGUAUCGUAACCUAAUGAAGGAUGCCAUUCUGUGCUCUGCAAGGCCUGGGGGAGCCCCAGUGGGAAGGGAUCCAGAUGGUGCUGGGCCUGGGCCAAAAGUGAAAUGGGGGAGGACGGGUCCUUUCUCUCCUUUGUCCCUAACCUCCCCACUUCCUACUGCUGUCUGACUCAGAACCCUCAUGAAAAACCCAACUUUUUACACUGAUAUUUCCCAGAGGCCUAAUUGUGCAACAAGAAAUAAAAACACAAUUAGGGAACUGAGGUCCAGCAGGAAAUUCAUGUUACAUAAAUAAGACCUGGAGUGCAUAGGGGAGUGCCCCAGCUCUCAGCCUUGUUAGUAUUGAAGGCUCCGAGCACACAGAUCUGGGAUCCUCUGAUUUGGUGGAUAACCCUUGUGAACAAUAAUUCUCUGAAAAGGUAUUUGGAGGAAAGAGACUUUAUUCCUGUAAACAGUUUUCAAACUAGGGGAAUGCAGCUUUCAGUGUAAAAUGAAGGUGCUUUCCAGACAACAAAGGAGGGGCUGGGCUUUUAUAGAGAAAGUUCCUGCCCUGUUCCCACUCAGGUCCACUUAUGCAAAUAAAGGAUUCAAACUUGCUUAAUCUGAUUGGUUGAUGCUUGCUGAGUUCUGAUUUGUUGACACAGGUCAUAGUCUAUUGGUUGGUUCCGGCAACAUAAACAAGAACAGGAAGCUAUGAAAGUCCCAAAGUUAAGCAGAUGUGGGUUUUCUGGGAACUCAAAAACAUGUGUGACUUCUAGUCAGCAAGUUGCCGCUUGGCUCUAAAUUGAAUUUAGGCCCUGUUAGCCAGAGUGUGAACCUUGAGAGAGCCGGCCUUUCAAGGUUCACACUCUUCACAUGGGCUGGAGAGAUUCCUAUCAUAACUGAUUUAUCCAUUCACCCAUUGACAGGCACUUGGAUUGCUUCCACCUUUAGGGUGUUGUGGACAACAUCAACACUGCUACAAACAUGGGUGGACAAAAGGCUAGUUCUCCUCAACCAUGGUGUAUGUAGCUGGAGGGAAAAUGCCAAAAGCUGCAUUAUGAGAAACAGUAAAGUCAAAACUGGAAAGAUGGAUCAAAGCGUGAUGUCUCCCUGAAGCCCCUCCUACUAGGCUUGAGGUGAAGGAGAAGCACAGGAAGAAAAGUGCCUCAGUGCUCCAACAACUUUUUCCAAAGAAGCCCUCUUUCUCAUUUCCAACUUUAAACCUUUUAAAACUUUGAUUGGCAUAGAGCUAAGGGUUGGAGAACAUUGUCACUUCCCUCCUUUGCAAGUCUGUGUGGAUAGUUGUAUGUUAUCUCCAAAGGUGGCCACCAUCAUUUCCUUCUCUCCCUAUAUGUGAUUUCCUUCUCUAUUGGCUCCAUUCAUCAAGAAGUAGAGGCGAUUCCUGCUCUUCCUCUUUGAACUUGGGCCAGUCCUGUGAUUUGCCUUGACCAAUUGGACAUGGAGGAAGUGAUACUGUGCCAGUGCUUAGCCUGGCCUUUGAGAGGCCUGGCAUCUUCAGCUCUCUCUCAGGAGAGAAUGCAGCAGGCAUGUAAGAAGGCUGAUGAAUCAGACCACCAUAUUAUGAGGAAGCCCAAGCUAGCCACAUGGAAAUGGCACACAAAGGAAAGCUGAGGAACGAAACCAACAGAAGCAUCAGGUCCCCAGCCAUAUGACCCAGUUAAGCCACCUUAGCUAUGUGGUAUUCCAGGUAAGGUUCCCUGCUAUGUGGUAUUCCAGGUAAGGUCCCAGAAUUUAGUCAUGGAGGUGAGCCAUUCCCUCUGUGCCUUGUACAAAUUUCUGAGCCAAAUAAUUUUGAGAAAAUAAAAGACCUAUUUUAUACUGUGA
This 3616-nucleotide long non-coding RNA is filed under the name Homo sapiens (human). RNAcentral describes it as "HSALNT0357079". Lineage: Eukaryota; Metazoa; Chordata; Mammalia; Primates; Hominidae. The record is from RNAcentral.